UACGGAGGAUGCGAGCGUUGUCCGGAUUUAUUGGGUUUAAAGGGUGCGUAGGCGGCCAAAUAAGUCGGGGGUGAAACCCACAGGCUUAACCUGUGGAGUGCCCUCGAUACUGUAUGGCUUGGGUUAUCUCUAGGCGGGCGGAAUGGAAGGUGUAGCGGUGAAAUGCAUAGAUAUCUACCAGAACGCCGAUAGCGAAGGCAGCUCGCUGGGGAUAUACCGACGCUGAGGCACGAUAGCGUGGGGAUCAAACAGG
This 253-nucleotide ribosomal RNA is filed under the name uncultured bacterium. RNAcentral describes it as "partial 16S ribosomal RNA". It matches the Rfam family "Bacterial small subunit ribosomal RNA", at positions 524 to 776 of the family's 1533-position model. The record is from RNAcentral.